RNAcentral lists this ribosomal RNA (1458 nucleotides) under Salmonella enterica subsp. enterica serovar Poona. Its description in RNAcentral is "bacterial SSU rRNA". It matches the Rfam family "Bacterial small subunit ribosomal RNA". Lineage: Bacteria; Pseudomonadati; Pseudomonadota; Gammaproteobacteria; Enterobacterales; Enterobacteriaceae. The record is from RNAcentral. RNAcentral also lists the same sequence under 2 other names.
CGGUAACAGGAAGCAGCUUGCUGCUUUGCUGACGAGUGGCGGACGGGUGAGUAAUGUCUGGGAAACUGCCUGAUGGAGGGGGAUAACUACUGGAAACGGUGGCUAAUACCGCAUAACGUCGCAAGACCAAAGAGGGGGACCUUCGGGCCUCUUGCCAUCAGAUGUGCCCAGAUGGGAUUAGCUUGUUGGUGAGGUAACGGCUCACCAAGGCGACGAUCCCUAGCUGGUCUGAGAGGAUGACCAGCCACACUGGAACUGAGACACGGUCCAGACUCCUACGGGAGGCAGCAGUGGGGAAUAUUGCACAAUGGGCGCAAGCCUGAUGCAGCCAUGCCGCGUGUAUGAAGAAGGCCUUCGGGUUGUAAAGUACUUUCAGCGGGGAGGAAGGUGUUGUGGUUAAUAACCGCAGCAAUUGACGUUACCCGCAGAAGAAGCACCGGCUAACUCCGUGCCAGCAGCCGCGGUAAUACGGAGGGUGCAAGCGUUAAUCGGAAUUACUGGGCGUAAAGCGCACGCAGGCGGUCUGUCAAGUCGGAUGUGAAAUCCCCGGGCUCAACCUGGGAACUGCAUUCGAAACUGGCAGGCUUGAGUCUUGUAGAGGGGGGUAGAAUUCCAGGUGUAGCGGUGAAAUGCGUAGAGAUCUGGAGGAAUACCGGUGGCGAAGGCGGCCCCCUGGACAAAGACUGACGCUCAGGUGCGAAAGCGUGGGGAGCAAACAGGAUUAGAUACCCUGGUAGUCCACGCCGUAAACGAUGUCUACUUGGAGGUUGUGCCCUUGAGGCGUGGCUUCCGGAGCUAACGCGUUAAGUAGACCGCCUGGGGAGUACGGCCGCAAGGUUAAAACUCAAAUGAAUUGACGGGGGCCCGCACAAGCGGUGGAGCAUGUGGUUUAAUUCGAUGCAACGCGAAGAACCUUACCUGGUCUUGACAUCCACAGAACUUUCCAGAGAUGGAUUGGUGCCUUCGGGAACUGUGAGACAGGUGCUGCAUGGCUGUCGUCAGCUCGUGUUGUGAAAUGUUGGGUUAAGUCCCGCAACGAGCGCAACCCUUAUCCUUUGUUGCCAGCGGUCCGGCCGGGAACUCAAAGGAGACUGCCAGUGAUAAACUGGAGGAAGGUGGGGAUGACGUCAAGUCAUCAUGGCCCUUACGACCAGGGCUACACACGUGCUACAAUGGCGCAUACAAAGAGAAGCGACCUCGCGAGAGCAAGCGGACCUCAUAAAGUGCGUCGUAGUCCGGAUUGGAGUCUGCAACUCGACUCCAUGAAGUCGGAAUCGCUAGUAAUCGUGGAUCAGAAUGCCACGGUGAAUACGUUCCCGGGCCUUGUACACACCGCCCGUCACACCAUGGGAGUGGGUUGCAAAAGAAGUAGGUAGCUUAACCUUCGGGAGGGCGCUUACCACUUUGUGAUUCAUGACUGGGGUGAAGUCGUAACAAGGUAACCGUAGGGGAACCUGC